Molecule: long non-coding RNA, 126 nt
Organism: Haliotis rubra (blacklip abalone)
Lineage: Eukaryota; Metazoa; Mollusca; Gastropoda; Lepetellida; Haliotidae
Exons: 3
Source: RefSeq, a predicted model, not a curated record
AGACUAAGGCUUUGUCUCUGCACAUUUAUAUACUCAGCGUCAUAAAUGAAGGGUCAAGCUAUUGGUGACCCUAUUUCUUAAAAGUUGUAAAAUCUUAGUUUUUGUUCGAGAUAUAUACAACUGAAU